UACGGAGGGUGCGAGCGUUGUCCGGAAUCAUUGGGCGUAAAGGGCGCGUAGGUGGCGGGACAAGCGUGCGGUGAAAGCUCGGGGCUCAACCCCGCGUCGGCCGUGCGAACUGUUUUGCUUGAGCACUGUAGAGGCAGGCGGAAUUCCGGGUGUAGCGGUGGAAUGCGUAGAGAUCCGGAAGAACACCGGUGGCGAAGGCGGCCUGCUGGGCAGUAGCUGACACUGAGGCGCGACAGCGUGGG
RNAcentral lists this ribosomal RNA (242 nucleotides) under uncultured bacterium. RNAcentral describes it as "partial 16S ribosomal RNA". It matches the Rfam family "Bacterial small subunit ribosomal RNA", at positions 524 to 765 of the family's 1533-position model. The record is from RNAcentral.